RNAcentral lists this ribosomal RNA (505 nucleotides) under uncultured bacterium. RNAcentral's name for it is "partial 16S ribosomal RNA". It matches the Rfam family "Bacterial small subunit ribosomal RNA", at positions 29 to 523 of the family's 1533-position model. The record is from RNAcentral.
AUUGAACGCUGGCGGCAGGCCUAACACAUGCAAGUCGAACGGCAGCACAGAGAGCUUGCUCUCGGGUGGCGAGUGGCGGACGGGUGAGUAAUGUCUGGGGAACUGCCUGAGGGAGGGGGGAUAACUACUGGAAACGGUAGCUAAUACCGCAUAACGUCGCAAGACCAAAGUGGGGGACCUUCGGGCCUCAUGCCAUUGGAUGUACCCAGAUGGGAUUAGCUAGUAGGUGGGGUAAGGGCUCACCUAGGCGACGAUCCCUAGCUGGUCUGAGAGGAUGACCAGCCACACUGGAACUGAGACACGGUCCAGACUCCUACGGGAGGCAGCAGUGGGGAAUAUUGCACAAUGGGCGCAAGCCUGAUGCAGCCAUGCCGCGUGUAUGAAGAAGGCCUUCGGGUUGUAAAGUACUUUCAGCGGGGAGGAAGGCGAUACGGUUAAUAACCGUGUCGAUUGACGUUACCCGCAGAAGAAGCACCGGCUAACUCCGUGCCAGCCGCCGCGGUAA